GUCCCGGGGCAGCUAAUGGUCGGGUCCAGGCGGGAGGCCAUGUUUGCUGGAAUUAAAGCGGGCGGGGCGGCGCCAGCGAGCAGAUGCGGCUGGAGGCGCGCGGGAGCCGGGUGCGAGCAGGGCGCAGCGGCGAGGGAGGCGCGGGGGAGGCCAGCGGGAGCCGGGGCGCCAGCAGCAGCCUGCAUCGGCGGAGAGCAGCCGGGCGCAGCCGGAGCCGCAGUCGCCAUGGCCGUGGCUGUGGGGAGACCGAGUAAUGAAGAGCUUCGAAACUUAUCACUUUCUGGCCAUGUUGGAUUUGACAGUCUUCCUGACCAGCUGGUCAACAAGUCCACUUCUCAAGGAUUCUGUUUCAACAUCCUGUGUGUGGGUGAAACAGGUAUUGGCAAAUCCACAUUGAUGGACACGUUAUUCAACACCAAAUUUGAAAGUGACCCAGCUUCUCACAAUGAGCCUGGUGUGCGGUUAAAAGCCAGAAGUUAUGAACUUCAGGAAAGCAACGUACGGCUGAAGCUGACCAUUGUUGACACGGUGGGAUUUGGAGACCAGAUUAAUAAAGAUGACAGCUAUAAGCCUAUCGUGGAAUAUAUUGAUGCCCAGUUUGAGGCGUACUUGCAAGAGGAAUUGAAAAUUAAACGUUCUCUCUUCAACUACCAUGACACGAGGAUUCACGCCUGCCUUUACUUCAUUGCCCCCACGGGACAUUCACUGAAGUCCUUGGACCUGGUCACAAUGAAGAAACUCGACAGCAAGGUGAACAUCAUUCCAAUAAUUGCAAAAGCUGACACCAUCGCCAAGAACGAACUGCACAAAUUCAAGAGUAAGAUCAUGAGUGAACUAGUGAGCAACGGAGUCCAGAUCUAUCAGUUCCCCACAGACGAGGAAACCGUGGCCGAGAUUAACGCGACCAUGAGUGUUCAUCUCCCAUUUGCAGUGGUUGGCAGCACCGAAGAGGUGAAGAUUGGCAACAAGAUGGCCAAGGCCAGGCAGUACCCCUGGGGUGUGGUGCAGGUUGAGAACGAAAACCACUGUGACUUUGUGAAGCUGAGGGAGAUGCUGAUCCGAGUGAACAUGGAAGACUUGCGAGAGCAGACGCACACUCGCCACUAUGAGUUGUAUCGGCGCUGUAAGCUCGAGGAGAUGGGCUUCAAGGACACCGACCCCGACAGCAAGCCCUUCAGUCUUCAGGAGACAUAUGAAGCCAAAAGGAAUGAAUUCCUGGGAGAGCUGCAGAAGAAAGAGGAGGAGAUGAGGCAGAUGUUUGUCAUGAGAGUGAAGGAGAAAGAGGCGGAGCUUAAGGAGGCGGAGAAGGAGCUUCACGAGAAGUUUGACCUCCUGAAGCGGACACACCAAGAGGAGAAGAAAAAAGUGGAAGACAAGAAGAAGGAGCUUGAGGAGGAGGUGAGCAACUUCCAGAAGAAGAAGGCCGCAGCUCAGCUCUUGCAAUCCCAGGCCCAGCAGUCUGGGUCCCAGCAAACCAAGAAGGACAAGGAUAAGAAAAAUGCAAGCUUCGCGUAAAAGGCCUGGCAAGCCAAGGACGCUCCCGCACUCACCUGCUUUUGCAGUAGUAGCGUACCUCUGUCAUCCGCGUCCUGUUUGGUUUCGUUGUCUCUCCCUUCCCCAGAUACCAGUAACUCCUAGCUCACUUUGCUGAAUGUUGUCAGGUGGUGGAGACCCAUAGAACAAGGGGAUCUCGGCAGACGCGUGCGUGUGGCUGGACUUUGUUUCUGGAAAGUCAAUGAUCUGCCUUGUAUGCCUGUCCCAAGUGGCAGCAGGAAGCAUGUCUGUCAUUCGUAUGUCGCUUUGGACCAAGGAAAGCAGGGUAAAAUGCUACCUGUACGUCUGACGUGAAAACUCACCACCUCAGCAGCUGAACUAAAACCCUGAAUAGCCAUGACAACAACCUGCAUUCUCUUGAUUGUUCGUCUCAGGCUCGCCAGCCCCCUCCCCCCACUUCACUGUCUCUUCACACUUGCCCCAAACCAAAGGUGGCCAUGAAAGGAGGCAGAAUGGUGAGCGGGCACCAUAGGUGGCUUUUCACCUGUAUGAUUUUUUUUUUUCCAUUUAAUCACUCCGGUAUUUGGUCCGAGCCUGUGAGCUGCUUAGACCAUCUUAGGGACACAGUGGGCAUCUGAAUGCCCACUUCAAAGCCCGGCCAAAGCUGCUGGGGAAUGCUCACCUCCACCAGGGUGUCCCCGCCUGACACUUUCCCAGGUCCAGAUCUCAAAGACCGCCUGAAAGAGUUUGGCCUAGCUGUUAAGGAUGCUGGAUCCCCACUUAGAGCGAGGGGAUCGUCCCUACCCCUCCCCUAUCCCCUCCCUGUACACCUGCAUUUGCUUUAAGCCAGCUGAGGGGAGACCUGGAGGCUGAUUCCCAAGUAUGGCUCCUUCUCAUAGAAAUUUUCAUGAAUCGCAGUGAGAAAACUGCUCCAAAUACUUCAAAUAGGAAACCUGCUCUACAUUGCAUUGCCCGUAGCACAAACCUGCAAGGCUGUCCUCAGGUUAAGGGAGGGAGCGAGCACAGUGCAGUUGUGCAAAGUAGAGACAGACGAGGCUGACCACCACCAUCAGUUCCCGCUCCCUGCUGACACUGAAACUCAGCUGCCUUUAAGGACUUUUGCUCGCUUGUCCCCUUACUGUGAUUAGGGCCGCCUGCUCUGUCUCUGGGGCCAUCAGUUAGGCCACCUGACUCUGGAUCAGGACAUGCCCUGCCUGCCUGCUGUGCAAGAAGGGAGAAGGGCACGUGUCUAUCCUGUCCCCUUUUCCUUCUGCUGUUCAUCCUGUCAUCUGCGUGGCUGUCCCCUUCUAACCAGACCCCCAGCUUUCCCCUCUCUCACAUUUCUCAUGGACCCAGUCCUUUGCCUUUACAUCUCCUCUCUGAUGUCACCAGUUACACGUUAAUGGGGUAAAGCACGCUACAUUUCCCACUUGAAAACAAAAUUGUCCAGCAAGCCCGGUCUGAUCCUGGCCAAGUUUUUAGGUUUUCCUUUUCUUCAUCUCCCAAUCAUAAGAAAAAAGCAGUGCCCUUUCAUAAACUGACUUAGGCUUCAUUAGGCAAAGCAAGGCCAUUGGCUUCACAGGGGUGCAAGCCAGGGUGGCCCAGAAGCCACAGAGCAGCCGUAGCAGCCAUCUUCGGCAGGGGAGGGAGGAGCUCCUACACGGACCCUGGCUUUGCUUCCAUUUUCCCAGCUAGCUGUGGAGCAGCAGGUACUAAUGGCAUGCUGGCUAACCGUGGCUGCGUCUGCUUCUUCACUGGGCACCACACAAGAGCUUGAGCAUUUGUGUUGUACUUUUGUUCCAACCACUGCUUGUGUGAGCAUUUUCUUUGUUUCUUUCUCUGUGCCUUGUAAUAGAAAGUACCCCUUUGCAUUUGAUUCUCAAAUCUCUAAAAGCUUUUUAAGAUAAGCUAAGAAGGGAAAAAAAAAUCCAAUUGACUUUUUGAUGCCAAGAUUAUUGAUUGAAUUAAUUUUUUUUCACAGUAAAAUAAAUUCUACGGAGAGUCAGGGAAUAAAAAGCUAAGAGAAUCCUUAAAAAAGCUUAAACGAACAAAAAGCAUUGCUUCUGAAAUGAUUCUCUCCCACCUCCACUCCCAAGCCUCCUGGAGCUUGUUACUGCUGCUCUUUUCUUUCCGUAUCUAUGCCUUUCUUCACAGUAGUCCCUGGCUCUGCACGGAAUAAACGAUACUCUCAAAUCUAAUCGGACGUGCUUUCGCCUCUGCAUCUGACCAUCUGCCUCUUGAGAGAAAGAAGUGGGCAUCUACCUUUAAAUUCAGGAACCAUUUUUCAUUUGACUCUGUUACCUGCAUCCCUUCCAUAAGCUGUUUGGGGAGGGCGUUCUGCUCGUUUUUUGGGGGCCGGGGAAUUCCAUCUAGCCAAUCCUGCUUUCUGUAUUUGUUAUUCAGACUUACUUUUGGUAUCAAAUUAUGCCCUUCCUAAGCUCACUUCAAGGGGAACUUCUGUUUACUAUGUUCUUAUCUUAGAUGCAAUUUGAAAAUGCCCCUUUUUGUUACUAGAGUUUUGAUCUAUGUUUGAAUUGUGCCAGUGUUGGGUAAAUGACUUUUCUGCCUCUGGGGCUCAAUUUAUAUUUAAAGAUAUCUUAAAAUAUUUCUGGCCCAUCCCUGCUUUUGUAUUUGUUGUGAAGCUCUGCUUUACCCCCGUCCAUGGUUUUAUUUAUUUAUUUUUUUCCUUUUUUUAAAGCAUGAAAUGAACACUAAACAUGAACAUAUUCCUCCCAGGUAAUUGCAUCAGUAGCGGAGGUUCAAUUCAUUUCUUCUCAAAGGGGCUCACAUGGCUUUCUCCACAGUGUCUGUAAAAGGCCUGCCAAAAAUCAAAGCGUUUGCACCAGAUCCCUUAAAAUUCACCCACAUCUACAAACACUUGUACCAGUUGAGUGUUUGAUUGCCAGUACUGACCUAUCUAUGCUGAGCUAGGCUACCUCUCAAAGUCAGAGGGCAACUUCCAGAUACCUAUCUAGCUAAUCCAACUAUCCAAAUUCCUAUCUGUAAUGAAUGGUGGAAGCGACCUUCCAAAUUCACUACUUGUCUAUAACUUUGCUUGUUUGCACCUUAAAAAUAUUUUUAUCUCUGUAGGGAAUGGCUCAUGGCCCUGGUUUGAGUUGCAUUUGGUCAGAAUCUUUUUGGGUGGUCCCCUCCGUGAGUAAGGUACAGUACUUCUGUGGGCCAUUGAAGACACAGUAGACCUUUGCCACUCUUAUUCCUGCAAAGAGGUCCCUUAGAGCAGUCGGUUGAGUUUGUUGACAAGCAGCUUGUGUUACUAGAAAGUAUUUCUAAAUGUAAGUAAAGUCAGUCUCACUGGAGCUAGUAAGCAACCCAAAUGUCCCUUCACAGUAUGCAGUGGCAGACAUUCAGGACUGUAACUAUUGGAAGGGUUAUGGGUACCAACUCUGAUAGCAGAAUAUAGCGUUGCUAUGUUAAACACGAGAUCAUGUUGAAACUACUAAGUACAAUUCACUUUAUUCUGAACUUCUUAUAAUCAUUUAAUAUCAAUUUCAUACCAUCAUUCAUUUUAAGAAGCAUCGUUUCAGGUCAUAGUUUGAGCAAUGUUUAAAAAUCAAGUCAGGCAGCAGGAUUUUGCCCAAGAAGAGUGUGUAGUUUCAUUGCUCUUCCUUUGUUCUAAGAGCCUAGCUGAGAAGUGAGUGGGGUCAUCUUCAUUGGAUCAGGGAGUUCCAAGAAGGCUCGCUUCCAUUCAGUGACCACAGGGAAUCUGGUUGCAGACAUCACUGGCCAAGUGCCUUGGGGUCUCUCUCCUAAGAUUGACAGCUACUGGUGUGGCAUUUUGCUUCACGUGGCUCUGUUUCUCAAAUAUUGAUAAAUAUUGGGUCCUGAGGUCCUCCUGUAAAAUUAUGCUGAGGACAAUCACUGGCAAUAAUAAAUGUACUGGCUUGCCUUAAUUUAAAUUAUGGAAAGAAAAACAGAAUUGAAUCACUAGAACCUGUUUCUGCUGGUGACAACCUUUUUAUUUUUCACUCAAAUUUUAAAAGGCUAUUAGUUUCAAAUACUUGCUUAUCCAAGUAUUGUCUAGGUGUUCUACUUGGAAUCAGCAUAGUCCAUUAUGAAAGAGAAAUACAUCCUGAGUUAGUGUAUGCUGAGCUUGGACAGAGAGAGAGAGAGAGAGAGGCCCAUUUCUCAUACUUGACCAAAUAACCAAACAUUUCACCAUCAAUGGUACCAAUUCUAAGAAACUUUCUUCUGAGUUGUUUUUGGUUUAUGAUCAAAACAGACUUCAGGGCAAACAUUUUCUGGAUGUCUUAAAAAAUACACAAUUGUGAUUCCAUUUAAUGACCUACACAAGGCCUGUUACUUUACAGAUACCCGCCUUUCUGCCAUGGAGAUCAACAGGGCACUGAGGCUUCUUCUAAAGUCCUUGAGCAUGAAUGCUUAUAGUAACACCUAGUCCAUUUACACCAGCUACUAGUAAGCAACCGCCAUACCCAGACUAGUGAAAGGAACGUAUAUUCAUUUGAGAAGAUCAUGAGCCUAAAUGCCCAACCUCCCCUCCCCCCAUCACUAUUCUUGACUGGUAAAUCUGCUGGGUGUCCACAGGACACCGAGAUGCAAAAACAAAAACAAAACAAAACAAAAACCCACAUCUGCCUCAUUGCUGGUGGUCCCUUUCAGCCCACCAUGGAAACCUGUGGCUCCCACAUGCAUGAAGCAGAGACUAUUACCUUAAGCUUGUACCUUUCCCACAAAGUACAACUUCAUGUGUGCUCGGGAAGGAUUAACACUCCAUAAAAGGCUGGGCUUGGCACGUUUUCUCUGCAGAGCCGCGGGGGCAGCUCUCCUAGCCAUCUGUACUUAUUCUUCCCUGCUUUCCAAUACUUACUGUGUGCCAUGUGCCUAGCACACAGUUACUUGUACUUAUCCUGUGCUCCUCCUGAGCACAGCAAGCGUGGAGCAAAGGAAAGUGGUGUGCCAUGUCCCUUACUCAUCUAAGACAGACCUUAUUCUGAAAAGCAGUAGGGCUCCACCCUCCCACAGACACGGUUCAUGAUUGUUUGCUAAUGCGUCCCUACUCUUAACGAAGUAAACUGUUUCCACUAAA
Molecule: RNA transcript, 6559 nt
Organism: Meriones unguiculatus (Mongolian gerbil)
Lineage: Eukaryota; Metazoa; Chordata; Mammalia; Rodentia; Muridae
Gene: Septin11
Gene name: septin 11
Exons: 11
Source: RefSeq, a predicted model, not a curated record